AGAAAAAAAAAAAGAAAAGAUAUGGGCAGAUCCUGGAAGAUAGGAUAAGAAUGUUAGCAACUUGCCACAACCAACUUGCUAUCCAAGCCACUUUCAUCGCCAUCUUUUAUACAUAGACAAUCGUUUUCUUCACCCCACAUCACCAUCACACCAUCUAUUCUCUCUACACACACCAAUCCCACAAAACAUAGAGGAGUCCGAAGAGGGAGAUUUCUACAAUCCAACAACACUUUACUUCCCUAUCAAAAGGUUAUCUCCGCAAGUAAGGUCGGAGUAAGAAAUUCAAGUUAAAGGAACUAAACGAUGAAGGUUGAGCAGCGAAGUGGUGGAGGAAGUGCUAUUGAGACAAGACAUUUAAUUCAGUCAGAUUUU
Long non-coding RNA from Salvia splendens (bonfire salvia), 372 nucleotides. RefSeq lists it as uncharacterized. The transcript has 3 exons. Lineage: Eukaryota; Viridiplantae; Streptophyta; Magnoliopsida; Lamiales; Lamiaceae. The record is from RefSeq and is a predicted model, not a curated record.